CCCUUAGAUGUUCUGGGCCGCACGCGUGCUACACUGAGUGGAUCAGCGGGUCAGGUUGCGCGAAAGUGUUUCCUAAUCUUGAAAUCCGCUCGUGAUGGGGAUUGACGGUUGCAAUUUUCCGUCAUGAACGAGGAAUACCUUGUAAGCGCGGGUCAUCAUCCCGCGCUGAAUACGUCCCUGCCCUUUGUACACACCGCCCGUCGCUCCUACCGAUUGAGUGGUCCGGUGAGGCUUUGGGAUCUGAGCGGAAAGAGUGUUUCGCUGUUUCUGCUCGGAAAACUCAGUCGAACCUUAUCAUUUAGAGGAAGGAGAAGUCGUAACA
Molecule: ribosomal RNA, 322 nt
Filed under: uncultured eukaryote
Lineage: Eukaryota
Description: partial 18S ribosomal RNA
Rfam family: Eukaryotic small subunit ribosomal RNA
Source: RNAcentral